CCUACGGGUGGCAGCAGUGGGGGAUAUUGCACAAUGGGGGAAAGCCUGAUGCAGCGACGCCGCGUGAGUGAAGAAGGAUUUCGGUAUGUAAAGCUCUAUCAGCAGGGAAGAAAAUGACAGUGCCUGACCAAUAAGCCCCUGCUAACGACGUGCCAGCAGCCGCGGUAUUACGGAGUGGCAACGCGUUCGCCGGAUUUACUGGGUGUAAAGGGAGCGUAGACGGUUAUGUAAGUCUGGAGUGAAAGCCCUGGGCCCAACCCCGGGAGUUCAUUGGAAACUGGGUAACUGGAGUACAGGAGGGGAAGGCGGAAUUCCAGGUGUAGCGGUGAAAUGCGUAGAUAUCAGGAGGAACACCGGCGGCGAAGGCGGCCUGCUGGACUGAAACUGACGUUGAGGCUCGAAAGCGUGGGGAGCAAACAGGAUUAGAUACCCUGGUAGUC
This 440-nucleotide ribosomal RNA is filed under the name uncultured bacterium. RNAcentral's name for it is "partial 16S ribosomal RNA". It matches the Rfam family "Bacterial small subunit ribosomal RNA", at positions 338 to 795 of the family's 1533-position model. The record is from RNAcentral.